UAUGCGUAGAAAGCAUCGAUGGUCACGACCUUACUUGAACAGGAUCUGUUCUAUAGGUUCGUACCUCUGUAUCCUUGAUUUCUAAGGAGACAGGUCCCAAACCCUGGUUGAUGAAGCAUGGCCGUGCGAUCUGGGUGUGAUUAACGGCUAGUAUUGUCUUCGGACUAUCCGAGCUGUAGAGGAUCGCUAUCUGGUCUGGUCUUGACCUAGCCAGAGUGGUCGCACGGUUGUCUGACAGCAUCAAGCACAAGGAAGUUAUGAAGCAGUAUCGUUUGAGGCCUAAUGGUGGAAUAAUGGCAUCUCUCAACUUGUUUGCUACUAAAUUCGACGAGGUUGUCUCUGUGAUUGAGGAACGUGCAGACUGCAGACAAGCUUGAUUAUGUUCUUGUGGAUACUCCUUGGCCAGAUAGAGAUGUGCUACUGGAGGUUGAUGAGUACUUUCAGAAUGAUGAUGAGCUGUUUCUAUACAUAAAAGUAUAAUCAAAACCAUAUCUUUCAUACUUUCUCAAGCUGGUUUUGUCCGUGUCCUUUGCCUUAUUUCCCCCGUCGUGUAGUUAAACCAUGGAACUGAAUCUCUUCGUGAGACAUUAUCUAUUUGAUCUAAUGACUGUUUCAUUAACUAGAAUUUUCGAAGAUUUUGUACACAACUUGCGUUCAUAAUAUAUGCACAAAGGCAGAGACUUCAGAGCUAUUAUCACAGGUUCUGAUUCAUAUUAGAUAUGAUGACGUCAGU
Long non-coding RNA from Brassica oleracea var. oleracea, 733 nucleotides. RefSeq lists it as uncharacterized. The transcript has 3 exons. Lineage: Eukaryota; Viridiplantae; Streptophyta; Magnoliopsida; Brassicales; Brassicaceae. The record is from RefSeq and is a predicted model, not a curated record.